UGAAGCUGGCGGCUGCUUACACAUGCAGUCGAACGGCAGCGCGGGGCACUAGGCGGCGAGUAGGCGAACGGGUGAGUAAUAUAUCGGAACGUACCCUGGAGUGGGGGAUAACGUAGCGAAAGUUACGCUAAUACCGAUACGAUCUAAGGAUGAAAGCCGGGGACCCGAAGCUUUGUGCUCCUUGGAGCGGGCGAUAUCUGAUUAGCUAGUUGGUGGGGUAAAGGCCUACCAAGGCAUCGAUCAGUAGCUGGUCUGAGAGGAUGAUCAGCCACACUGGGACUGAGACACGGCCCAGACUCCUACGGGAGGCAGCAGUGGGGAAUUUUGGACAAUGGGGGAAACCCUGAUCCAGCCAUGCCGCGUGAGUGAAGAAG
Molecule: ribosomal RNA, 374 nt
Filed under: uncultured bacterium
Lineage: Bacteria
Description: bacterial SSU rRNA
Rfam family: Bacterial small subunit ribosomal RNA
Source: RNAcentral